AUCACUGGCUCAGGAUGAACGCUAGCGGCAGGCUUAACACAUGCAAGUCGAGGGGCAGCGCGGGAUAGCAAUAUCCUGGCGGCGACCGGCGGAAGGGUGCGUAACGCGUGAGCGACAUGCCCGUUGCCCGGGGACAACCGGUGGAAACGCCGACUAAUCCCCGAUGGGAUAUUGUGCCGCAUGGCACGAUAUUGAAAGUUACGGCGGCGACGGAUUGGCUCGCGUCCGAUUAGCUUGUUGGCGGGG
This 246-nucleotide ribosomal RNA is filed under the name uncultured bacterium. RNAcentral's name for it is "partial 16S ribosomal RNA". It matches the Rfam family "Bacterial small subunit ribosomal RNA", at positions 15 to 257 of the family's 1533-position model. The record is from RNAcentral.